UACGUAGGGGGCAAGCGUUGUCCGGAAUCAUUGGGCGUAAAGAGCGUGUAGGCGGCUCGAUAAGUCCGCUGUGAAAGUCCAGGGCUCAACCCUGGAAGGCCGGUGGAAACUGUCGGGCUAGAGUCCGGAAGAGGCGAGUGGAAUUCCUGGUGUAGCGGUGAAAUGCGCAGAUAUCGGGAGGAACACCAGUAGCGAAGGCGACACGCUGGGCCGAAACUGACGCUGAGGAGCGAAAGCGUGGGUAGCAAACAGG
RNAcentral lists this ribosomal RNA (253 nucleotides) under uncultured bacterium. RNAcentral describes it as "partial 16S ribosomal RNA". It matches the Rfam family "Bacterial small subunit ribosomal RNA", at positions 524 to 776 of the family's 1533-position model. The record is from RNAcentral.